RNAcentral lists this transfer RNA (74 nucleotides) under Calditrichota bacterium. RNAcentral describes it as "Calditrichaeota bacterium (bioreactor metagenome) tRNA-Ile". It matches the Rfam family "tRNA". From Rfam's summary of the family: Transfer RNA (tRNA) molecules are approximately 80 nucleotides in length. Their secondary structure includes four short double-helical elements and three loops (D, anti-codon, and T loops). The record is from RNAcentral. Lineage: Bacteria; Pseudomonadati; Calditrichota.
GGGCCCAUAGCUCAGUUGGUUAGAGCACUCGACUCAUAAUCGAAUGGUCCGGGGUUCAAGUCCCUGUGGGCCCA